RNAcentral lists this ribosomal RNA (421 nucleotides) under uncultured archaeon. RNAcentral's name for it is "partial 16S ribosomal RNA". It matches the Rfam family "Archaeal small subunit ribosomal RNA", at positions 323 to 746 of the family's 1478-position model. The record is from RNAcentral.
CUACGGGCUGCACCAGUUAGGAAUAUUCUGCAAUGCGCGCAAGCGUGACAGAUUGAACCAGAGUGUUUUUCAAAUGAAAAGCUUUUACCAAGUGUAAAAAGCUUGGCGAAUAAGGACUGGGUAAGACGAGUGCCAGCCGCCGCGGUAAUACUCGCGGUCCAAGUCGCAGCCAUUUUUAUUGGGUCUAAAACAUCCGUAGCUUGCUUGGUAAGUUUCUUGUGAAAUUUUAUAUCUCAAAUAUAGAGCGUGCAAGAAGUACUGCCUAGCUAGAGACUGGAAGACGUAAGAAGUAUGUUUGGAGUAGCGGUAAAAUGUGUUAAUCCCAGACAGACUAACAACAGCGAAGGCAUCUUACGAGGACAGUUCUGACAGUAAGGGAUGAAAGCUAGGGGCGCAAAACGGAUUAGAUACCCGGGUAGUC